UAAAUGGCAGGAUUUCAUCCUGUUGUAUGGCC
This 32-nucleotide non-coding RNA is filed under the name Homo sapiens (human). The record is from RNAcentral. Lineage: Eukaryota; Metazoa; Chordata; Mammalia; Primates; Hominidae.